This 433-nucleotide ribosomal RNA is filed under the name uncultured bacterium. Its description in RNAcentral is "partial 16S ribosomal RNA". It matches the Rfam family "Bacterial small subunit ribosomal RNA", at positions 29 to 507 of the family's 1533-position model. The record is from RNAcentral.
AACGAACGCUGGCGGCAUGCCUAACACAUGCAAGUCGAACGAGACCUUCGGGUCUAGUGGCGCACGGGUGCGUAACGCGUGGGAAUCUGCCCUUAGGUUCGGAAUAACUCCCCGAAAGGGGUGCUAAUACCGGAUAAUGUCUUCGGACCAAAGAUUUAUCGCCUUUGGAUGGGCCCGCGUUGGAUUAGCUAGUUGGUAGGGUAAAAGCCUACCAAGGCGACGAUCCAUAGCUGGUCUGAGAGGAUGAUCAGCCACACUGGGACUGAGACACGGCCCAGACUCCUACGGGAGGCAGCAGUGGGGAAUAUUGGACAAUGGGCGAAAGCCUGAUCCAGCAAUGCCGCGUGAGUGAUGAAGGCCUUAGGGUUGUAAAGCUCGUUUACCCGGGAUGAUAAUGACAGUACCGGGAGAAUAAGCUCCGGCUAACUCCGUG